Molecule: unclassified non-coding RNA, 21 nt
Filed under: Chlamydomonas reinhardtii
Lineage: Eukaryota; Viridiplantae; Chlorophyta; Chlorophyceae; Chlamydomonadales; Chlamydomonadaceae
Description: small RNA Cre_4005
Source: RNAcentral
UUGGGCUUGGGCUUCUUGGGC